ACACGCAUGACACACUGCAUAUCAAUAAGCGGAGGAAAAGAAACUAACAAGGAUUCCCUUAGUAACGGCGAGUGAAGCGGGAAGAGCUCAAAUUUGAAAUCUUCAAGGUUUUACCUUGACGAAUUGUAGUUUAAAGAAGUGUUUUCUGUUGAAGUUUUGGUAAAAGUUCUUUGGAAUAGGACAUCAUAGAGGGUGAGAAUCCCGUAUUUGACCAUUAUUUUCAGCUGUGUGAUACACUUUCAAAGAGUCGGAUUGUUUGGGAAUGCAGUCCAAAAUGGGUGGUAAAUUUCAUCUAAAGCUAAAUAUUGGCGAGAGACCGAUAGCGAACAAGUACCGUGAGGGAAAGAUGAAAAGAACUUUGAAAAGAGAGUUAAACAGUACGUGAAAUUGUCAAAAGGGAAGCGUUUGACACCAGUGUUGUUUAGUUGAAAAUCAAUUCAAUAGUUUUUGAUUCUAAGUAGUAUUGACUUCAUCAGCUUGCUGCUUUCUUCUCAGAAAUUAUUGAAUGCACUUUUCAGUUAACAAGUCAACAUCAAUUUCUUUUGUUGUAAAAGGGUAAGAGGAAGGUGGCUUGCGCUUCGGCUCAAGUGUUUAUAGCCUUUUAUCUCUGCAAUCGGAGAGAUUGAGGUCUGCAGCGUAGAUCCUUCGGGGUUAGAUACAUUGGUGCUAAGUUAUAGCUUUUCAUAGACAACUUGUUGACUAUGUUAAGUCUUGUAGCUUACUCGCUGACGCUAUUUUACCUACGCUUAGGAUGUUGAGCGCAUGUCUCUCUCU
This 774-nucleotide ribosomal RNA is filed under the name uncultured Neocallimastigales. RNAcentral's name for it is "partial large subunit ribosomal RNA". It matches the Rfam family "Eukaryotic large subunit ribosomal RNA", at positions 23 to 616 of the family's 3401-position model. The record is from RNAcentral. Lineage: Eukaryota; Fungi; Neocallimastigomycota; Neocallimastigomycetes; Neocallimastigales.